Molecule: long non-coding RNA, 1368 nt
Filed under: Monodelphis domestica (gray short-tailed opossum)
Lineage: Eukaryota; Metazoa; Chordata; Mammalia; Didelphimorphia; Didelphidae
Description: lncRNA (ENSMODG00000036299.2)
Source: RNAcentral
GUCUAGGAUCUCGGGACAGUUUCCUGGAUAAUUUCCUCUAGUAUUAUGUCCAGGCUUUUUCUUUGUCGUGGUCUUCUGGUAGUCCAAUUAUUCUUAAAUUGUCUCUUCUUGAAUGAUUUUCUAAAUCGUCUGUUUUGUGAAUGAGAUGCUUCACAUUUUCCUCAAUUUUUUCAUACUUUUUGUUUUGUUUUAUAGUGUUCUGCUGCCUUGUGAGGUCACUUGAUUCUAGUUGUUUUACUCUGGUUCUUAAAGAUUGGAUUUCAUCUCUGGCUUUUUGGUCGUCUUUUUCCUUCUGGUCUGAUUUUCUUUGAAGAUCGUCUUUCAUCCUCUUUACCUUGUCUUUCAUCUCCUUUGCCUCAUUUUCCAGCUGGAUGAUUUUGGCUUUCAGGACACUAUUUUCUUGUUUUAGUUCAAGUGCCUCUGUUUCCAGAUGAUUUAUCUUAAUUUUUAAGUUCUUUUCCCAAUUGUCUUCAGCCUCACUUAGUUGUGUUUUGAGUUCUUCCACAGCCUGUAUCCAAUUCGCUGGGAUUUCUGGUUUAUCAUUUGCUGAUCUCUUCCCCUCUGUUCCAUUUGGUGAUAAUUGGACAACAGGAUUGCUAAAGUCCCUUCCGGCACUAACAUUCCACGAGUCUAUGAUUCUAUGCAGUAGACAUCCAGCAUACAUGGGGGCUAAUGAUAGGAAUGAAAAUCAAGGAAAAUGUUCACGUUUUACAAUGGUGGUGCUGAAAAGAGAGUCCAGGAAUCAUCAAGUUAUUUCUGCUAAAGUCCUGUCUUCCUUAACUGACUUGGUUUUUCUGGCAGAUUGAAGUUCUGGUAAAAACUAGCCAAUCAGUUGAUUGAACAUCAUGGAUUCUGUGGGGACCCUGGUGGGUUGCUUCUUAUAUUUGCUUAUGUUAUUCUUCCCACUUGGACUGACCUGCCUCUGCCUCUCCAUAUCCCAACUUUUGCAUGAAGUUUUCACAGACUAUUCUGACCUUCAUUAAUCCCUUAAAAAAAAAAGAACUUCUACUGAAUUUAUAAUUAACAUCACAUCACUUUUAGUAAUAUUUUAUUUUUCCCAAUUACAUGUAAAAACAAUUUUUAACAUUUAUUUUCUCACAUUUGAAAUCCAAAUUCUCUUGCUCUGUCCCUCCCCUCCUCCUUCCUCUCUUCCCUCCCUGAGGUAGAAGCAAUUUGAUUUAGGUUCUACAUGAAUAUCACAUUACUUCUAUUAAAAAAUAAGGGUAAUGGUUGCCAUUUGUUUUUUAUGUCACAGUAAUUUUUAGAAAUCUGUUUCCUGUCUCUUCCUAAACUUCCCUCCCUUUUUCUUAACUGUAACAAAGAAGAACAGUUAAAUAAAAACACUCAAUAAGAUGACCUUGUCUGACA